GUCUAGGGACUGCGGAGGAUCAUUAACGCGCAGGCCGGAGGCCGGCCCCCCAGGAUAGGGCCAAACGUCCGUCAGGGGUGAGCAGAUGUGCGCCGGCCGUACCGCCCCAUUCUUGUCUACCUUACUCGGUUGCCUCGGCGGGCCGCGCUCUCCCAGGAGAGCCGUUCGGCGAGCCUCUCUUUAUAGCGGCUCAACGCUGGACCGCGCCCGCCGGAGGACAGACGCAAAAAAAAAUUCUUUCAGAAGAGCUGUCAGUCUGAGCGUUAGCAAGCAAAAAUCAGUUAAAACUUUCAACAACGGAUCUCUUGGUUCCGGCAUCGAUGAAGAACGCAGCGAAAUGCGAUAAGUAAUGUGAAUUGCAGAAUUCCGUGAAUCAUCGAAUCUUUGAACGCACAUUGCGCCCCCUGGCAUUCCGGGGGGCAUGCCUGUUCGAGCGUCAUUUCAGCCCCUCAAGCCCGGCUUGUGUGAUGGACGACCGUCCGGCGCCCCCGUCUCUGGGGGUGCGGGACGCGCCCGAAAAGCAGUGGCCAGGCCGCGAUUCCGGCUUUCUAGGCGAAUGGGCAACAAACCAGCGCCUCCAGGACCGGCCGCCCUGGCCUCAAAAUCUGUUUUAUACUUAUCAGGUUGACCUCGGAUCAGGUAGGGAUACCCGCUGAACUUAAGCAUAUCAUAAGCCGGAAGGAAAUAUUUAGG
This 693-nucleotide ribosomal RNA is filed under the name Trichophyton tonsurans. RNAcentral's name for it is "eukaryotic LSU rRNA". The stretch from base 286 to 439 matches the Rfam family "5.8S ribosomal RNA". The record is from RNAcentral. Lineage: Eukaryota; Fungi; Ascomycota; Eurotiomycetes; Onygenales; Arthrodermataceae.